UGCCAGCCGCCGCGGUAAUACGAGGGGUGCUAGCGUUGUUCGGAAUUAUUGGGCGUAAAGAGUACGUAGGCGGUUUAGUAAGUUGAAUGUGAAAGCCCAAGGCUCAACCUUGGAACUGCAUUCAAUACUGCUAGACUAGAGCAUGGCGGGAGAUAGUGGAAUUCCUAGUGUAGGGGUGAAAUCCGUAGAUAUUAGGAGGAACAUCAGUGGCGAAGGCGACUAUCUACACCAUUGCUGACGCUGAGGUACGAAAGUGUGGGGAGCAAACAGGAUUAGAUA
RNAcentral lists this ribosomal RNA (279 nucleotides) under uncultured bacterium. Its description in RNAcentral is "partial 16S ribosomal RNA". It matches the Rfam family "Bacterial small subunit ribosomal RNA", at positions 506 to 784 of the family's 1533-position model. The record is from RNAcentral.